Molecule: small RNA, 1564 nt
Filed under: Rattus norvegicus (Norway rat)
Lineage: Eukaryota; Metazoa; Chordata; Mammalia; Rodentia; Muridae
Description: uncharacterized LOC102551062
Source: RNAcentral
GAUCAGCUGGCCUCACACUCAGAGGCCCACCUGCCUGGGUCUCCUUCCACCUGCCUGUGUCUCCUGAGUGCUGAAUUUGAAAUUUUAUGCAAUAUCAAAGAGUGUAUUCUUUUUUGCAUUUGUGUGGAAUGCUGUGUGUGUGUGUGUGUGUGUGUGUGUGUGUGUGUGUGUGUGUGUGUGUGUACACAUGCAUGUUCUUAUGGGCCUGAGGUUGGUGUUGGGUGCCUUCAAGGCCUCUCACUUGAGUUGAGAGCUCAUUGUUUGGGGUAGCUUGCUUCCAAGAAUCUGUUUCUGCCGCCACACCCAUUCGGCAUUUCUGGGGAUCAGAACUCUGCUCCUCAAGCUUCAAGGUAAACACUUCUGGCUGAGCCAUCUGCUCAGCCCUAAGAGAGUAGUUAUGUUUUGUUUUGUUUUGUUUUUAUGAGCAUUUUUUUCAACGAGGUCACAACUUUCAUCAAAUUAUUGAAGCUCCUGGAGUUUAAAAAAAAACAUAAAAAGUAAAGAAUCUACUGCUUUUGAUAAGUGAGGCUUCAACAGCAGACGUUUGCUUAAUUCUGGUUUCUGUAGACUUGCAGACCCAGCAGGGAGAAGAGAGUUCCGAAGGCUUAAUUACUCAAAUCCUAACUUUCUUCUUACAAAGAAACGAUAUGGACAUAAAAACUGGGGUGCUUUUAAAUGUGCACGUAGAUAAUAUGCAAAUAUGAACUUUUAACAUCACCCCCGUUCACUUGCUGAUUCCUCCAGUUUGCCUCUUUUUGGGACCCAUCCCAGGUGGCCAUAACGAUAGAGCCCGACGGCACGAAAAGCAACCGUGUGCAGAAAGGAUCUCAGAUGAGAGAGACCACAAAUGAUAACUCAUACUGCAAAGAUUAGAGGCUGCCUUUCCCAUCGGCAAAGCUGUCUAAGUCCCCGAGUGCCCUUCGUGGCCUAAGACCAUGUUCCUGUCAGACCUUGAGCAUGGUGAGGGUGAGGGUCCUUGCUCCCUAGUUGGGGAAAGGCUCCUAGGGAAGUCAACAAGCACUGUUUGUCAGGAAAGAACCCUGGUCAGCGGAUGUGCUUUUGCUCUUGGUGGGUGGAGACGAUGGGUUUCUGUAGGCUGAUAGACAAGUGGAUAGAGGCCAUGUCCUCAUCUCUUCUCAGAGUCUGCAACCCACGAGAGGUCCUUUGUGUCUGGACAUGGCUCAACACUUGACCCACCAAGAAAAGUUUUCAGGUGAAGAGGGCUACACCCUGGAAGAGCUACAGUUUGGUUUUGGAUUUAGAGGCACUGUGAACCCUUAAAGUUGCAGAACAUACACGGGGUGAGAGGAGGCCCGACCUGAAGUGAGGCCGUAGGGACCACGCUUCUCAGUGAGGAAAUACGGUGCACCAAAGGUAAGUUUUAGAACAUUUUAAUAUCCUUUUUUUUUCAGUGGAUGCAUUUUGAAAUUCUUAGAAUUAACAAUUUAAAAAGAGCAGAGCAAAGGAAAAUGCGGGAAUACAAACAGUCAGCUUUUGCUAACAGAAUUUCAGGUUCUAGGCUCGAUGCAAUUUUCAAAACCACCAAUCCAAAAAAAAAAAAAAA